UCCCGCUGCAUGUCCGGGUUAAACAUGCACCUCCCUGUUGGACUUGGCCGGGCCUUUGUGCCCGGUCAUUUUU
This 73-nucleotide non-coding RNA is filed under the name Pseudosulfitobacter pseudonitzschiae. RNAcentral describes it as "Sulfitobacter pseudonitzschiae Singlet oxygen resistance RNA X". It matches the Rfam family "Singlet oxygen resistance RNA X". Rfam says of the family: SorX (RSs2461)like SorY is a singlet oxygen induced sRNA that counteracts oxidative stress by targeting mRNA for a transporter in Rhodobacter. It also has an impact on resistance against organic hydroperoxides. The record is from Rfam by way of RNAcentral. Lineage: Bacteria; Pseudomonadati; Pseudomonadota; Alphaproteobacteria; Rhodobacterales; Roseobacteraceae.